GUCUGUGGCACCGCUGCAGAACAUUCCACUGAGGUGUUUCUCCUCUGAGCUGCUCUAAGUACAAGUCAGUCAGCCCUUGGAAGAAGGACAGGUUGGGUGCAGAAACUUAAUUUUAAAGCCUGGAUCUGAAAUUUUUCAACUUCUUUUGUUAUGAAGUGAUUUCCAGCAGGAGUGAUGCAAAAGCUGAAAGGCUUCAUACUACAGGAAGAGGAUAUGGUUAAAGGCACCAGGAUGUCUACAAAACAGAUUUAUUUCCAUCUCAGCAGGAGGCAGCCAUGUUUCUCUAAGUGUUGAUUAAACUGUUCCUCCAUGGUGGC
This 317-nucleotide long non-coding RNA is filed under the name Homo sapiens (human). Its description in RNAcentral is "HSALNT0146892". Lineage: Eukaryota; Metazoa; Chordata; Mammalia; Primates; Hominidae. The record is from RNAcentral.